AUGGUGGCCAAGAACGAGAUGUGGGCAGCUAAAGACGCAGCAACGAGGGCACGGGCAGUAGACGAGUCGAAGAAGUACAAGAGGUCGCUUGUGGAGAUCGGUGUGAUGCUGUCGAUCAGCGCCAUCCACAUCCUCCUGAGCUUCCUCGUGCCGGGGAUUUCCUGGCAGCACCAGAUCAUGUGCUGGCAGAACGCGAUGAUCGCCUUCGCCUCCGCCGCGAUGUUCACCUGGACGCACCUGAAGAACUUUCGCUGGUCCGUCCACAAGACCGAGUUGCCUCUAGUUUAA
RNAcentral lists this ribosomal RNA (288 nucleotides) under Triticum aestivum (bread wheat). RNAcentral describes it as "partial small subunit ribosomal RNA". Lineage: Eukaryota; Viridiplantae; Streptophyta; Magnoliopsida; Poales; Poaceae. The record is from RNAcentral.